Molecule: unclassified non-coding RNA, 303 nt
Filed under: Bombus terrestris (buff-tailed bumblebee)
Lineage: Eukaryota; Metazoa; Arthropoda; Insecta; Hymenoptera; Apidae
Description: misc RNA ENSBTSG00005039174.1
Source: RNAcentral
UGUCGAUUUUGUAAAAUCACUCCACUUAAAACAAUAGAUGAAACUCAAUGAUUUCGAUAAUGAAAUCGUUCACAAUUUCUGCAUUGUCACGUAACACAUUUGUAUCCUCCUCGGUUGUUGAAAUCUAAUUUCAUCGAUAGGAUAAAUUACCUUUGUCGAUGGUACGACGAGCAAUAACGCUACACUGGUGUGCCAUAUUUUAUUCGGUCGUAGGGACGAACAAAACCGAAAACUGCGGGGACGCGUGGUGAACUGUUGAACGGCGCAGUUUUUCCGAGCGAGCACGACGAGGACGGAAACGCC